CUGUACUUAAUUAUGCAUAGACGACUUAUUAACGCGCCAUGAAGGUCACAUGAUUACGGGUAGCACCAAUCAGCAGUGAGGACUAAGCUGCCUGGGGCGGUUGUCGUCGACCCCCCGGCUGAAGCUCUUCCCCCACUUGUGAAGCGUACAGCCCACGUAGAGCUAGUCAGCAUUCAGCUUCGAGAGUGCGCCCCCGCUCUGGGGGUGUCGCGGCCAUCCGCAGGCAGAGCUUUGACAGCCGGGAAAGGAGGAACGCAGAGAAGGAGCGCAGACUCGCAGAUGAGUAACUGAGAAGGCAGUGCUGCAUGAUCAGGGGGGGGGCCCUGCUCCAUCGCCGGGUGGGUCCUGCUCCCGAGCAAGGCGUGAGAAAUACAGGGAGACCAUUUACAGAGCCGUCCUGCUGCUUCCGGUCCAGAACAGCAGGGACACGUUGGCUAACAGGCACCCAGACAGGACGGGACAGGCCGUGGUUUUCACGAGCAGCUCUGGUUCCUCCCGUCCAGGGACGUGUGGACAAGGCCUGCACCUCUCCGACAGGCGUGUGAUGGUGCACAAGGGCACCAAGGUCCUGUGCCCAUUUUGUGGCCAAAUGAGCCUCCUAGAGAAGGAGAGACAGACAGACACAGAUGCCAUUGGGGCGAGUUUUCUGUUAUUGGGGCCCCAUUGAAAAUAUCACUUUGCCCCCCCCCCCCCCCCACCCGCCAAUAAUGCUUUAAAGAUUAAAUAAAAGCUUAGCAAGCAGAGUCACAAGAUCGUAGCUCACUAGCUGGUUAGCAGAACACACUGCUUCAGCAUCUCCUAAAUAAGGAGCGUGUUUAUUUAAUAUUUGGUGCCGUGUCUGUUUGUGGCCAACAGAGGGCCCCCAAACCUCCGGGGCCCGAUGUGUAUGCAUGAUUCGAGUGAUGGUUGAGCAUGGGCCACCCCGCCCCUGAGGCCCAGCGAUUACACAUCCUGCCUGAUGCUAAAACCACCCCCCCCUCGGCAACCCAUCAAACCCCCGUCGGCAUCGCCGUGAGUCCGCAGUGACGCCAGCGGCCUGAUCAAAGGCUGCGGUAUCAAAGCAGGCAUGAGGUUUCUUAAACAUUAAAGAACUGGGGGGGUGGGGGCGCGCGCUGACAUCCAUGCCCCCCAUCUGAUCCUCUGGCCUGCCGUUACCUGUCUGGAUACCCCCCCCCCCCCCCCCCGCAGUCAGGAUGGGGGCGGGGUCUUUCUUAUGCCAGGCCAAAGGCCAUCGCUGGAGUCUCGAUCUUCACAAGCAUUUAACCAGCAAAGCCAACACGGUCCUUACUAAUAAAUCACAUUAACAAUGCAGUUUUUUACAAUAUCAUCUCGCUGGUUGUAAGAAAGCUUUAUCCCCAGCUACAGACGCAUUUCCUCAGCGGCCUUCCUGCAGAAAGAAGAUUUUAUCUGUUCUGCAUAAGAAAUGAGUCUAUUAGAGAAUUGCACAUUAUCCAGCUUAAUAAGGAAUUCAGCAGUUCAGCUGGUUUCGGGAUUUCGAGUUCCUGGUGCUGCUCUUAUACAGGAUGGAUUAUUAUUAUUUUUCAAUAAAAAAGAAAGACAGGAAAAAUAAGCCUCUGACAGAUCAUUUUUAUGUAUGACCUUGAUUUUUCAGGAUGAAAGGAAUUUACACGUGCUGCGUGACAACAGCUAAAGGAGCUCGCCGCUUGUUACCGAGGACCAAUCACUGUGGGCUUCAUUGUCAGAUUACACAUCCAGGUGGAGUAUCAUUCGCUACCCUGCCUGUAAGUCACACAGCGGGCGUGUGUCCUAGUGCUGUGCCUGCACGGGAUUGGCUGUGUGGAGGAGAAGCAAGCAGCCCCCUUGGACACAUCUGCAUUCAGUCUGGCCCUGCUGUCCAAACUCUCCUCGACUUCAUAAGAGCCGGUCAGGUUUGAAGUUCGACCCCAUGCUUAGGGAUGGAAAUUGGCCGCUCGGUGCUGGCUGAGCCUCACCCCUGAGAUGGGAUCGUCACACGGACGGCCUGGCCGAGGAGACGCUGCAGUUAGUAUGUGAGUCCCGAGAAUCUUCCAGAAGUGUCGGAGCACUGUAACCACUUGUUCUAUUCAGGGUUGCCGGCGCUACAAAGUUAGGAGUGCAGGGCGGGACACACCCUAUUGCACGGCACUCACACACACACGCACACCUGUGGACGGACACACCCUAUUGCACGACACUCUCACACACACACGCACGCCUGUGGACUGUGGGGGGAUCCCCAGAACCUGGAGGAAACCCUACGAUGACAUGAGGAGGACAUGCGAACUCCACACAUGGAGCCAUGGCGGAAACGCGAACUCCACUUCCAGAGGUGUGGGGCCACCACUGUGCUACCCCCACCUGUUAUUCUGGUUUAUAUUUAACUAUAAAUUUCUCACGUAUCAUGUAACAAAGCUAUAGACCAAUGCUCAGUUUUUCAAACACAAAUGUAAUGGCUUGAUGUUUACUGUAAAAGUAUAAUUAUUAUUAAAGGAUCAAAGAGCUGA
Long non-coding RNA from Paramormyrops kingsleyae, 2483 nucleotides. RefSeq lists it as uncharacterized. The record is from RefSeq and is a predicted model, not a curated record. NCBI's taxonomy places the organism in Eukaryota, Metazoa, Chordata, Actinopteri, Osteoglossiformes, Mormyridae.